Molecule: ribosomal RNA, 980 nt
Filed under: Isochrysis sp. U4
Lineage: Eukaryota; Haptophyta; Isochrysidales; Isochrysidaceae
Description: SSU rRNA
Rfam family: Eukaryotic small subunit ribosomal RNA
Source: RNAcentral
UCAGAGUGUUUCAAGCAGGCAGUCGCUCUUGCAUGGAUUAGCAUGGGAUAAUGAAAUAGGACUCUGGUGCUAUUUUGUUGGUUUCGAGCACCGGAGUAAUGAUGAACAGGGACAGUCAGGGGCACUCGUAUUCCGCCGAGAGAGGUGAAAUUCUCAGACCAGCGGAAGACGAACGACUGCGAAAGCAUUUGCCAGGGAUGUUUUCACUGAUCAAGAACGAAAGUUAGGGGAUCGAAGACGAUCAGAUACCGUCGUAGUCUUAACCAUAAACCAUGCCGACUAGGGAUUGGAGGAUGUUCCGUUUGUGACUCCUUCAGCACCUUUCGGGAAACUAAAGUCUUUGGGUUCCGGGGGGAGUAUGGUCGCAAGGCUGAAACUUAAAGGAAUUGACGGAAGGGCACCACCAGGAGUGGAGCCUGCGGCUUAAUUUGACUCAACACGGGGAAACUUACCAGGUCCAGACAUUGUGAGGAUUGACAGAUUGAGAGCUCUUUCUUGAUUCGAUGGGUGGUGGUGCAUGGCCGUUCUUAGUUGGUGGAGUGAUUUGUCUGGUUAAUUCCGUUAACGAACGAGACCGCAGCCUGCUAAAUAGUGUCCCCAACCCCUUGUUGGGGCUCGCUUCUUAGAGGGACAACUUGUCUUCAACAAGUGGAAGUUCGCGGCAAUAACAGGUCUGUGAUGCCCUUAGAUGUUSUGGGCCGCACGCGCGCUACASUGAUGCAUUCAGCGAGUCGUCUCCCUUGACCGAGAGGUCCGGGUAAUCUUGUGAACUUGCAUCGUGAUGGGGAUAGAUUAUUGCAACUAUUAAUYUUCAACGAGGAAUUCCUAGUAAGCGUGUGUCAUCAGCGCACGUUGAUUACGUCCCUGCCCUUUGUACACACCGCCCGUCGCUCCUACCGAUUGAAUGAUCCGGUGAGGCCCCCGGASUGCGGCGCCSCCGCYGGUUCUCCAGYSCUGGCGUCGCGGGAAGCUGUCCGAAC